Molecule: long non-coding RNA, 538 nt
Filed under: Setaria viridis
Lineage: Eukaryota; Viridiplantae; Streptophyta; Magnoliopsida; Poales; Poaceae
Description: long non-coding RNA (SVIR_LNC003082)
Source: RNAcentral
UCACCGUGUUGUCUUGCCGGUACGAGCAUUUGCUAAUGGAGGCAUGGUGUUCUAGAUUGUCGAAAAUGGCUAUUAGUUGCACAGACCAUUGGAAACUUUUGCCAUAAUUAGAUAGAAAUCUAGGGCGGAUUCAGAGAACCCGGUCGGAUCUGGGCGUUGUGACGUAGUACAGGUCCACUUCAGGCAUGUGGAUGUGGUGACUGCAGCCUGCAGGCGCAUCCAUUGAACAUUCAACACUGUGAACUAUUGAAGGACGACCGAGGACGGACACCGCAGUAAAAGCUCAGCCCAGCCCCAGCCGAUGGGCAUGGGCUGAAGCAGCAGGACAGCAGUAGUGAAUGAAUGUGGAUCAGCUAACUACUCCUGUAGCUGUAGCCAUGUGCAAACAGGUGUCUCGGCUGUAAUGUUUUCUCUGCCAUGCAAACUUACGUGAGUCUUUUUUUUUUCCUUCCAUCCAAAUGUAAAUGGCUUGGCCCAUGCACUAGAAUAGUACGUUUUAAUUUGAUACUGUCGUCCUAAGUCCUAACGAACCCCCCCC